GGCGUCGCACCCGUGGGGGAUGUGGGUGUUUUAACACCCACACUUUUCCCGGUGAGAGGGUUCAACACCCACACUUUUUAUGCAGUUUUUCAAGAACGCCUUAUUAAGUCGCUCCUCCGUUUCUCUGGCCGCUCUCUGUCUGCUGCGCUGCGCUGCUUCCUCUCCCCCUCCCCUCUCAAACAUGACGCCGGCUUUGAGUGUUACCGGCUGAUGAUUGGCUGUUCUGCCUUAAGUCCCGCCUCUCUUGGUGGGUUAGAUUGAUCGGUCAGCUCGCGCUGAGGAGGCGGGAACUUAUGUUUAUUUACAUCUCCCUUUUUCAGUAUCAAUAAGAUACAGAAAAGAAAGAGGCAGGAGAAGAUUGACACCUUUUUCAAGAGAAAUCCUGAGAUGAGGUUGCUGGAGGCAUCAGUUUAAAGAGAGAGAGAGACACAUAAAGUUUCACAGGUGUGCAAUGAAAAAUGAAUGUUACAGUUUGUGAAAGAGGUCUAUGAAGGAAGAGAGCGUGUGUUUGUGUCAUGGGUGGUGCUUAAUUCCAUCCCAGGUGCACAUACGCCUGUUUCUGGUGUGUUUAUAUCAAAUUUAAAAUGAUAUAUAUCCAUCCCCCACACUUUUAAAAAGCUUGC
Non-coding RNA from Paramisgurnus dabryanus, 623 nucleotides. The record is from RefSeq and is a predicted model, not a curated record. Lineage: Eukaryota; Metazoa; Chordata; Actinopteri; Cypriniformes; Cobitidae.